GACGAACGCUGGCGGCGUGCCUAAUACAUGCAAGUCGAACGGACUGACUGGGAGCUUGCUCUUGUUCGGUCAGCGGCGGACGGGUGAGUAACACGUGGGCAACCUCCCCGCAAGACCGGGAUAACCCCGGGAAACCGGCGCUAAUACCAGAUAACACCGAAGACCGCAGGGUCUUUGGGUGAAAGGCGGCGCAAGCCGCCGCUUGCGGAUGGUCGCGGGGCGCUUGCGCUAGUUGGUGAGGCAAUGGCUCACCCAGGCGGCGGUGCGUAGCCGGCCUGGGAGGGUGACCCGCCACAUAGGCCUUGGGGAAGCACCAGGAGUGCAUCGGCCGCAAGGGGUGGGAGCUUUUGGAAGCGGCGCCGCGGCAGCGUAGAAGGCCGCCGGGUCGUGAAGGACUGUUGUGGGGUUCGAAGGAGCGUCGUUUGGAGACGGCGCGGGGGUGACGGUACCGGAUGAGGAAGCACCGGCUAACUACGUG
Molecule: ribosomal RNA, 478 nt
Filed under: uncultured bacterium
Lineage: Bacteria
Description: partial 16S ribosomal RNA
Rfam family: Bacterial small subunit ribosomal RNA
Source: RNAcentral